Molecule: ribosomal RNA, 454 nt
Filed under: uncultured bacterium
Lineage: Bacteria
Description: partial 16S ribosomal RNA
Rfam family: Bacterial small subunit ribosomal RNA
Source: RNAcentral
GAUGAACGCUGACAGAAUGCUCAACACAUGCAAGUCUACUUGAACUUCGGUUUGGGUGGCGGACGGGUGAGUAACGCGUAAAGAACUUGCCUCACAGAUAGGGACAACAUUUGGAAACGAAUGCUAAUACCUGAUAUUAUGAUUUUAGGGCAUCCUAGAAUUAUGAAAGCUAUAUGCACUGUGAGAGAGCUUUGCGUCCCAUUAGCUAGUUGGAGAGGUAACGGCUCACCAAGGCGAUGAUGGGUAGCCGGCCUGAGAGGGUGAUCGGCCACAAGGGGACUGGGGCACGGCCCUUACUCCUACGGGAGGCAGCAGUGGGGAAUAUUGGACAAUGGACCAAGAGUCUGAUCCAGCAAUUCUGUGUGCACGAUGAAGUUUUUCGGAAUGUAAAGUGCUUUCAGUUGGGAAGAAAAAAAUGACGGUACCAACAGAAGAAGUGACGGCUAAAUACGUG